UUCCUCAGAAUUCCGAGAUGAUGCCAGUC
Molecule: non-coding RNA, 29 nt
Filed under: Homo sapiens (human)
Lineage: Eukaryota; Metazoa; Chordata; Mammalia; Primates; Hominidae
Source: RNAcentral